CCUUAUAAACAAGGCCGCAAGGCCCGCUGGAAGCGCGGUUCCUCCCCGAGGUCCCGCGCCGACGGUAGACCCUUUGUGAAAACCCCCCGUUGCUUCGGCAGCACCUCCCCCGCCCGGCGGUGGAGGGUCAGCCUGCCGACGGCACCUUUCAGAAACCCAAGUCGCAAAGCAGUACUCCAGUCUGACGGCGCAGUCGAAUGACUUUA
This 206-nucleotide unclassified non-coding RNA is filed under the name uncultured Orbiliales. RNAcentral's name for it is "sequence contains ITS1". Lineage: Eukaryota; Fungi; Ascomycota; Orbiliomycetes; Orbiliales. The record is from RNAcentral.